RNAcentral lists this non-coding RNA (784 nucleotides) under Hamaxiella brunnescens. Lineage: Eukaryota; Metazoa; Arthropoda; Insecta; Diptera; Tachinidae. The record is from RNAcentral.
AUAAAGUUUUAUUUUGGCUUAUUAAUUUAUUAUUUAUUUAAUUUAUAUGUAAAUUUUUGUACAAAUUUUUAAUUAUUUUAAUAAUAAUAAAAUUUAUUUAUUUAUUUACAAUAAUUAGUAUUAUUAAUUAAAGAAAUUUAGAAAUAGUAAUAUAAUAUAGUAUUGACUAAAUUUGUGCCAGCAGUCGCGGUUAUACAAAUAAUACAAAUAAAUUAUUUUGUUUUAAGUUAAAUUAUUAAAAUUAAAUUAAAUAUAAAUUUAUUAAGUGAAAUUUUUAAAUUUAUAGAUUUUUAAUUAAAUUAGUUGAAUCUUGGAAAUUUUAAAAAAUAAACUAGGAUUAGAUACCCUAUUAUUUAAAUUGUAAAUAAAAAAAUAAGGUAGUAGUAGUUAUAUUCUUUAAACUUAAAAAAUUUGGCGGUAUUUUAGUCUAUUCAGAGGAACCUGUUUUAUAAUCGAUAAUCCACGAUGGACCUUACUUAAGUUUUAUAGUUUAUAUACCGUUGUUAUUAGAAUAUUUUAUAAGAAUGUUAAUUUUCAUAAUUUUAGAAUAAAAAAUAUAUCAGAUCAAGGUGUAGCUUAUGAUUAAGUAAAAAUGGGUUACAAUGGAAAUAUUUAAAUGGAUAUAAAUUUGAAAUAUUUAUUGAAAGUGGAUUUGAUAGUAAAAUUAUAAAGAUUAAUAAUUUGAUUUUAGCUCUAAAAUAUGUACAUAUCGCCCGUCACUCUUUCUAUUAAAGUAAGAUAAGUCGUAACAUAGUAGAUGUACUGGAAAGUGUAUCUAGAAUGC